Molecule: ribosomal RNA, 372 nt
Filed under: uncultured organism
Description: bacterial SSU rRNA
Rfam family: Bacterial small subunit ribosomal RNA
Source: RNAcentral
CAGAGGGUGCAAGCGUUGCUCGGAAUCAUUGGGCGUAAAGGGCAAGUAGGUGGUCUCGUUUGUCUGAGGUGAAAUCCCUGGGCUUAACCUAGGAACUGCCUCAGAAACGGCGAGACUAGAGUCCUGGAGAGGGUCGCGGAAUUCCCGGUGUAGCGGUGAAAUGCGUAGAGAUCGGGAGGAAUACCAGAGGCGAAAGCGGCGGCCUGGACAGGAACUGACACUCAACUGCGAAAGCGUGGGGAGCAAACAGGAUUAGAUACCCUGGUAGUCCACGCUGUAAACGAUGGGUACUAGGUCAGGUGGGUAUUGACCCCUGCCGGACCGGAGCUAACGCGAUAAGUACCCCGCCUGGGAAGUACGGUCGCAAGACUA